RNAcentral lists this ribosomal RNA (787 nucleotides) under uncultured archaeon. RNAcentral's name for it is "bacterial SSU rRNA". It matches the Rfam family "Archaeal small subunit ribosomal RNA", at positions 85 to 879 of the family's 1478-position model. The record is from RNAcentral.
ACGGCUCAGUAACACGUAGAUAAUCUGGCCUCAGGUCGAGGAUAACCACGGGAAACUGUGGCUAAUACUCGAUAGAAGAUAUCGUCUGGAAUGACACUUCUUUGAAAUUCGAGCCUGAGGGUGAGUCUGCGGCUGAUUAGCUUGUUGGUGGGGUAACUGCCUACCAAGGCGAUGAUCAGUACGGGCCCUUAGCGGGGUUGCCCGGAGACGGAAUCUGAGACACUAUUCCGAGCCCUACGGGGUGCAGCAGGAGUGAAUCUUUUACAAUGCGCGAAAGCGUGAUAGAGCGAGCCAAAGUGCUUAACUUUUUGUUAAGCUUUUAUCGGUUGUAAAUAUACCGAUGAAUAAGGACUGGGAAAGACCGGUGCCAGCCGCCGCGGUAAUACCGGCAGUUCUAGUUGCAACCAACAUUAUUGGGUCUAAAACAUCCGUAGCUUGUUUCGUAAGUUUCUCGUGAAAUCUCAUAUCUCAAGUAUGAGGCGUGCGAGAAAUACUGCGAGGCUAGAGAUCGGUAGGUGUAAGAAGUACGCGAGAGGUAGUGGUAAAAUACGUUAAUCUUUCGUGGACUCACAAUUAGCGAAGGCAUCUUACAAGGACGAAUCUGACAGUGAGGGAUGAAGGCCAGGGGCGCAAAACGGAUUAGAUACCCGUGUAGUCCUGGCAGUAAACACUGUUCACUAAACAUUGGGGCCUCUUCGGGAGGUUUCAGUGCUGAAGCGAAGGCGUAGAGUGAACUACCUGGGAAGUAUAGUCGCAGAUCAAAACUUAAGGAUUGGCGGGGGAGCAC